Non-coding RNA from Electrophorus electricus (electric eel), 278 nucleotides. The record is from RefSeq and is a predicted model, not a curated record. NCBI's taxonomy places the organism in Eukaryota, Metazoa, Chordata, Actinopteri, Gymnotiformes, Gymnotidae.
UGCAAACCGUAACCAGCAGGAAAUGGGCAGCCUCCAGAAAGAACAACCCUCAGCAUUGACACCACAGCCAGUUAACUAUUUAUCAGCAAGACAAGGGCUUAAAAAGUCACCUACAUGCAAAAUAUCUGAGCUGGAUUCAAAUGACAACUUGGAAGCAUUGAAUAUGCAUAGCAAAACAAUGCCUAAGCCCAUUCACUUCUACAGUGAUACAUAUAUGGACAGUGGGGAUGAAUCCAUGUUGAGGAGCAAGGUAAAAUCAAAACAGAGUUCUCCACCAU